RNAcentral lists this long non-coding RNA (9517 nucleotides) under Gossypium barbadense (sea-island cotton). RNAcentral's name for it is "long non-coding RNA (GBAR_LNC018877)". The record is from RNAcentral. Lineage: Eukaryota; Viridiplantae; Streptophyta; Magnoliopsida; Malvales; Malvaceae.
UCCAUGUAGUACUCUCCUAGGGGACUGAUGAUAAGUGGAGUGUAGCUUAAUGGUCGUGUUAUAUCAACAUUAGGCAGCAUAUAAUAAGGGCUGUCCCCAAAGAACAUGACACCUUUAGGGGCUAAACAAAGGGCAAACGUUGGGGCAAAACCAGCAGACCCAAAGUGUGAGGCCAGUUGAGUUGGUAGAGAAAUGGGGGAAUGUCCCAAUCCAGCCACCCCUUGAACAGUACUUGGUAACCCUCUUUGCAGUAAAAGGGAAGGUGCACAAGUGAACAAGAACUGAGGGACCCUAACCAUUGGACCAGGGUUAGACCCUUGAGUGGAUUGAAUUGAUAGCACAUCUUGUGCAAGAUCACUCAUGGCGGUAAGGCCUGUCACAGGGUUCAUUGACAUGACCCCACAUGUGUUGUUAUGGCACCCUGGUCCAUCCCUGGUGGAGCAUAUGUGGCAAUAGUGACUGUCAGCUCUAGAGCAUUGAGUCGAGCGGCACCUAGGGGCAUGGUAGGUGGACGAACAGUAACUUUUCUCACAAGUAACCCAUAGUAACCUUCCAUUCAAGUCCACAACAAAUGGGACUUUCUGUGAAGGAGUUCUCUUGUAUAUGUUAGUCACAUAAAGUUUAGUUUUCGGAUCUUUUUGCAGCUGCAAAACGAACCUGUUCGGUUUCGAAGUCUUUUGAGAUUCAGAUAAAAGGAUGAAAGAAGAAACGGAAAGGAAAAUGAGAAGGAAAAGAAGGAAAGAAGAAGCCAUGAAAGCUCAAUGCCUGCACAGUGAUGCAAGAAGAGGGUAAGCGGUGAGGAAAUAAAGGGGGAAAAUGGAGUUACUUAUAGGCAAAUUGAGUUCUUAAAAUCUAGUCAUAUUUUUGGGUGAUCCAAGCAUUGUUCAUGUGAAAGUUUUAGGCAUUAUAUGCAUUUGGCAAGCAGAAGAUGAAAGUUAGGCAGGCUAAAGUUAGGAAAAUUCAGGCUAAAAGAUGGACCCCAAAGCAAAGGAACAAAAUUGAAUUGGAAAGUGUGGAAGGCACUUGGCAAUGGCUUAGAGCUUCUACAGCCGUGCCAUCAACACAUACAAGGACUUCAUGGGUUUGGCUUGGCUUGGACUGAACUGGAAUUUGAUAAAUUUCAUCUUUAAUUUCUCAAGCAUGUUAAUUUCUAACAUAUGGACAAAUAUGACCUUAUGGUAGAUAGAAGUUUGUACGUAAGGGAACCCUACUGGGAUUUCUGGGAUUUCUCAAUCAAGUCAUGUGAAACAUUAUUACAAUAGCAUUUAUUGACUUGUACUAGCUGCAAACUUGUCCAUCAUUCUAAAAAGCUAAGAGUUUUAGAUAAUCAUAAAGAACCCCAGAACGGACUCAGCGUAACAAUGCCAAUGGAAAUACAUAACCUUACUAGUAACAAGAACACACCGAAAUUCACCCCUAGCGCAUCAUCAUCAAAAUCAAUAUCAUGACUAGAUCUACUGUAUCUUCCAUCAGCUUGUGUAUACGCAUAUAUCAAGCACAAGUCACUGAAAUUCGUCAAAGUUCUAUUCCUGUAUACCUGUGCAUCCGGUUGACCCUGCAAAUCCAUUAUAAUAAAAUAAGAGCAUAUAAAAAUGCAAAAACCUCGACAUAAACAAGAACAUCAUCCCCACCUUGAUAUAUGCAUUCCAUACAUGUGGAGGGGCAACUACCAAUUUCCUUGUAUCAUCCCAACUAAACCCGUUUUGUUCGAGAAGAUUCUUCACAUCAUUAUACUGCUUCCACAAAUUGGUAGAAUGACUUUUCAAAGUGUCCCUAUCGUAUUUACACCCAAAUUUCGCAUUGAAAAUAGAUAACAUAUCGGUCCAAGCUUGUUUAUUAAAUGUAUGGCCUAAUCUAUUACCCCUAUGCAUUUGAUCUAACAUAAGAUCAAUGAAAAACCGUUCCAUUGUCGGCGUCCAAUUUGUUCUUGUUCAAUCACUGCUACUAGGUGCAUUGCUCCCCAUUCUCCCCCCUACUAAUACAAAAAAGCUUCAUUAAUUUCUUAAUUUAGAAUUACAGUACCUUAAAAAGUUGAAAUUUAAGCGACAACUUACAAGCCCAUAAAAUUCAAAGCUAAUAUAAGCUCAAAUGAAAUAAAAAUUGAAAAGAUAAAAAAAAGCUAGUAAAUUUUUUGUUCAAAAAGAUAUCUGCAAAAAGGGCAUUAAUAAUUGUUUAGUUUAAGGUUUCUACUACCUAAGAGCUUCAAGCAGACAUAUUCUAUCUAAAUUAAGUUGAGAUAACUUUAAAUUAGCUCUAACAUCUAAAAUUGAAAACUUUAUAACUUUUUUUUUUGUCUUUUCCAGCAUUAUCCCACUAGUGAUACGAAAAAAUAAGCGAAACUAUUAGUAAAAAAUAAGCAAAAAAAAAAAUUGAACCUUGGUACCUUUGGGUUUUUUGUCAGAGAUUUCGCGUACGAAAAUUUUAUUUCAAUUUCCGGGAAAUUUGAUCAGGAGUGUGUUUUGCGGGUGCUUUAGAUUCCAACCAAAAAGAUCAUGAAAGAAUGGGUGCUUUUGAUUGGAAGCUUGAAGGAGAAACUACAGCCUGUUUGGUUGCUGAGAAAAUGGGUAGUUAACAGGCAAGAAAGUUCUCAGAAGUGGGCUCAAAAAGCACUUCAAUUGGACCCUUUCAGCCCAAAAACCUGAAGAUUGGACCCAAGGAUCCAACACUUUAUUUAUAAAGAAACUAUUUAAUCAGAUGUGUUUCGACAUAUUUAAAUUCACAUGCCAAUCGAAUUAAGACUCAAUCACAAUAGUUUAGAAACUUAAGAUUUUGAAUAUCCAUAUGUUUGUAUAUUUUAUUAUGUUAUAAAUGUGUUAAAAUAUUUUGACUUAUACAAUUUUUGAUAAUUUAAUAAUUUCUAUUAUAUAAUUUUUAGAUUAUUUGUAAUUUCAGAUCUUAUGUUGUGUGAUUUUUAUAUGAUAAGAAAGUUUAGAAAUACGGAGAGCAAUUCCUUUUCAGAAUUAAUCAUUUUGAUUACAUUUCCAAAAAAAAGUGAAAGGGCCAAAACACAUAGAGAUGGCCUUUAUUACAAUACACAUUUACAUACAUAGAUCAAUACAUACACAUAUAUGUGUAUGUAUAGCUCUAAUUAUUCCGUUUAUCACAUUGGGGUAGUGGAAACUUAAACCAAGCAAAAGUGACCCUUACUGGGAAGCUUGCACUUUUGUUUUUAUGGAAUAACAGUGAAGUUGAAAUUAUUGCAAGAAGUCUUGUAGAACAGCAAGGAAGAAUUGAAACCAAGCCUUGAUCUUGCCAUAUCAAACUGUACCAGAUUAUUCUCCAUUUGGUAAGCCCCAAUAAUAAUCGAAGCUCCAUUGUUCUUCAUUCCUCCAUCCACAAAAGCUAAGCAAGACACUCCUGGUGCAGCUUCAACAAAGGAGUUUGCUCCAUAAAUCCUCCACAUAACAUGCUUGUCAUGGAGCACAAGGUCGAUGUUGUUGUUCCAAUAGGGUCGGAAGCGUGUAAAUUAUUGUACUAAAAAAUCACACAAAGUUCAAUUCCCAGGGAAGAGAGGUGGAUCACAAGGAUCUCUUAAAUACCAAGUCUUUCCUUAGUCAGAAUAUUCCUUCUAACGUAAUUUAGUAGCACAAUUAAAUACUACUAUUAUACCCUCAAAUAUUGAAAGAAAAAUAGGACAAAAAGAACACAAGAGUUUUAACGAGGUUCGGUAAAUUAUACCUACGUCCUCGGGCUACUAAAACCAGAUGAUAACUUUACUAUCUCCAAAAUAUUACAAACAAAUAGAAUUCCUUAAGAAUUCUCAAAUGGGAGAAGAGAGAAAACUAAGAGAGAAAGAUUGGUUGGGAUGAAUUGAAAUGAGAAAUGAGAAGGCUUAUUUAUAGUUGAAGUUCAAGGACCAAACAAUAAAUAGCCCAUUAUCUCAAGGACCAAAAAAAAUUAUCCCUUGCCACUUUUCCAAAGUUGGUGGUUGUCAUUAUUGAUUGUCUCCCAUUAAUGUUAAUGGCAACCAUUAUUAAUUGUAUUCCAUUAAUGUUAACAAUCUCCACCUUGAAGAUUUGAUUAGGAUAAUCACAUCUUCACACACUUCCUUCAACUCCCCAAAUUCGAUAAAGCUAUCUUUUGUAGUGCCUACAAAUGCGCUCUCGAGCGCCAUACACCUGAAGGUGCUCAAAUUCUCAGGAUGUUAAUCAAGUUCAAACAAUGAUUAAACUUGAUUGUUGUUACCACAUUGGUCAUCAUAUCUGCGGGAUUAUCUGCUGUCGGAAUCUUCUGAAGUAGAAUUUUUCCUUUUUCAAAGACUUCCCGCACAAAGUGAUAUCUUACGUCGAUAUGCUUGGUUCUUGAAUGAUAGACUUGAUUUUUCGCUAAAUGAAUAGCGCUCUGACUGUCACAAUAUAAACUUAUGUGACUUUGAACAACUCCUAAGUCUUUCAACAAUCCAUUAAGCCAAAUAGCCUCCUUAACAGCUUCUGUAACUGCCAUAUAUUCUGCCUCUGUAGUAGACACAGCUACUGUAGACUGUAAGGUAGACUUCUAACUCACUGGGGCUUUCGCAAGAGUAAACAGAUACCCCGUAGUUGAACGACGUUUAUCUAAAUCACCAGCAAAGUCGGAAUCAACAUAUCCAACUACAAACUGACCAAGUGCUUCAUCCUGUUCAAAAAUUAAACCAACAUCUACGGUUUUUCGAAGAUACCGUAGAAUCCAUUUCACAGCUUUCCAAUGUCCUUUUCCAGGAUCAUGCAUAUACCUGCUCACAACUCUAACAGCUUGUGAAAUGUCAGGCCUCGUACACACCAUCGCAUACAUCAAACUCCCAACUGCAUUAGCAUAUGGGACUUUCGCCAUAUAUUCUCUUUCAUCUUCAGUCUUCGGAGAUAAUUGAGCACUAAGUUUCAAAUGAGAAGCAAGUGGGGUACUUACAUGUUUUGUGUUUUCAUUUACACCAAAACAUUAUAAUACCUUUUUCAGAUAUUGCUUCUGAUUUAAACAGAGCUUGCCUCUCGGUCUAUCUCUACUUAUCUCCAUGCCGAGAAUCUUCUUGGCCUCACCUAGAUCUUUCAUCUCGAACUCUUGAUUCAACUGAGCCUUCAGCUUAUCUAUCUCAUUUUGGCUCUUCGAAGCGAUUAACAUAUCAUCAACAUACAAGAGUAGAUAAAUGAAAGAUCCGUCAUGCAGCUUCUGCAAAUAUACACAAUUGUCAUAUUUGCUUCUUGUGUACUUCUGCCUUCUCAUAAAGCUAUCAAAUCGCUUGUACCACUGUCUCGGGGAUUGCUUCAAUCCAUAUAGCGAUUUGUUAAGCUUACAAACCCAAUUUCUACCACCAGCAUCUGUGUAUCCUUCUGGCUGAGUCAUAUAGAUCUCCUCUUCUAACUCACCAUGCAAGAAAGCCGUCUUAACAUCAAGUUGAGCUAGCUCCAAAUUCAACUGUGCUACCAAGGCCAACAAAAUUCUAAUGGAGGAAUGCUUCACAACAGGGGAAAAUACAUCAUUGUAGUCAAUUCCCUCCUUCUGAGCGUAGCCUUUAGCUACCAACCUUGCAUUGUAGCGAAUAUCCUUCUUGCUAGGAGAUCCAUCUUUCUUUGCGAAUACCCACUUGCAUCCGAUUGCCCUUUUACCUUUCGGUAAUUGCGCCAAUUCCCAAGUAUUGUUCUUCAGGAGAAACUGCAUUUCUUCAUCCAUGGCGCUUUUCCAUUUAUCACUUUCUAAGCUUUGCAUUGCUUCUUGAUAAGUGAUAGGAAUAUUAUCAACAACGAGAAGGGCGUAGGCCACUAUAUCAGUAAAUCGAGCAGGUUUACGAAUUUCUCUCCGUGGCCUUGCAACUGUAAUUGGUUCUGGUGUACUUAGUGGUUCUUGGGUCAGAACCUCUUCAACCUCUAAUUCCUCCAUUGUGGCUGGAGAAUUAGACUUAUUAACUAGGCAAAUCCCCAUCUGCUCAAACUCCACCUGUUUUGGAGUACACUCCACCUGCUGUGGAGUAUUGCUCGUCUGAAUAUCUUUAUCUGCUACCUUUUUCAAUGUGGCAGAUUCAUCAAAGGUAACAUCUCUACUACAGAUCAUUUUCUUUGUGCUUAAGCACCAAAGAUGAAAUCCCUUCACUCCAGAAGUGAUUCCCAUAAAGAGAGCUUUCUUUGCCCUCGGAUCUAACUUUGACUCCUUCACAUGGUAAUAUGCAGUGGUUCCAAACACAUGUAAGGAAUCAUAAUCUGUAGUCGGUUUUCCAGACCAUACCUCCAUAGGAGUUUUUCUUUCUAAUGCAGAUGAUGGCAAACGAUUAACAAGAUGGCCAGCGUAUGUCACAGCCUCAGCCCAAAAUUGCUUGCCCAACCCAGCAUUGGACAACAUACAUCGAACUUUCUCCAGCAAUGUUCGAUUCAUACGCUCUGCCAAUCCAUUCUGCUGUGGUGUAUCCCUAACUGUGAAGUGUCGAACAAUACCAUACUCUUGGCACACAUCGAAGAACGGAUCACUUUUAUAUUCCCCUCCAUUGUCCGUCCUAAGCCGCUUGAUUUUCUUGCCAGUCUGGUUUUCGAUCAUAGUUUUCCAUUUAAGAAAAACUCUAAGCACUUCAUCCUUAGUUCUCAUGGUAUACACCCAAACUCUUCUGGAAAAGUCAUCAACAAAAGUAACAAAGUAGUGUUUUCCUCCCAAUGAAGGUGUCUUAGAAGGCCCCCACACAUCUGAGUGAACAUAUUCCAAAAUACCUUUUGUAUUAUGGAUAGUAGUACCGAAUUUCACUCUCUUUUGCUUUCCCAGAACACAAUGCUCGCAAAAUUUUAAUUUGCAAGCCUUUGCAACUUUCAACAAUCCUUGCUUUGCCAGAAUUUGCAAGGAUUUUUCGCUGGCAUGUCCCAACUUCAUAUGCCACAAUUGUAUUGAGUCCAAUUCUUUGUUACCGGAAGCUGCAGCUACUGCUCCAAUAACUGUACUACCUUGGUAGUAAUACAAGUUAUUUUUCCUGAUGCCCUUCAAUAUCACAAGUGCAACCCCAUCUCUCAUAGUAACAACUGAACCAUUGGAUUCCAGGGCUCCCAAUGAGAUGAGAUUUUUCUUCAAACUGGGCACGUACCGAACAUCAGUCAGAACUCUGGUUGAUCCAUCUUUAUUCUUUAAUUGGAUUGAACCUAUCCCAACAGUUUUACAGGCAUUAUCAUUGCCCAUAUAAACAACUCCUCCAUUUAGUUCUACUAAAUCAGAGAACCACUCCCGGUUAGGGGACAUAUGAUAGGUACAACCCGAAUCUAAUAUCCACUCAUCUGAAUGGAACGACGAUGAUGAUGCAACCAGUGCUAGUUCAGAGUCACUGGUAUCAUGCUUUGCAACACAAGCAUCUACAGCAGCUUUUCCCUUAUUCUUCAGCUUUGGACAAUUUUUCUUCCAGUGGCCUUUCUCAUGACAAAAAGUACAUUCAUCUUUCCCGAGUCUGGACUUUGACUUUGAUCUCCCCUUUUGAGUUUUCUUCCGAGUGUAUGAACGACCUCGGACUACUAAAGCUUCUGUAUCUCUGAUUGAGUUUUUCUGUUUGUCCUUCUUUCUCUGUUCAUAACUGUAUAAGGCCGCACAGACUUCGCUCAGAGAUAUAUCACUCCUGCCAUGAAGUAGAGUAGUUUCUAGGAACUCAAACUCCUCAGGAAGUGACCCAAACAGCAUCAAAGCUAAAUCUUCAUAUUUGAAUGUCUCAUCCAUAUUCAGCAAAUCAGUGACUAACUGAUUAAAUUUGGUGAUGUGAUCAUUCAUUGUGGUACUUGGGACGUAUGUGAAGCGAAAUAGUCUUUUCUUCAAGUGGAGCUUAUUUUGACUGUUUUUCUUCAAAAAAUUUUCUUCAAGUGCCACCCACAACUUAUUUGCAGAAGUCUCCUUUGAAAAAGUAUACCUCUGCUCUCGAGAAAGGCAUGAUCGAAUUGUGCCACAUGCCAACCGAUUGAUCGCCUUCCAAUCUUUCUCCUGUACAUCAUCUGGUUUCUCUUCAUCAAUGGCAAUGUCUAGACCCUGCUGAAAAAGGGCAUCUAGAACUUCACUUUGCCACAUACCAAAAUGGCCCGUGCCAUCAAAGAUCUCCACGACCAAUCUUGCAUUUGCAAUUGUCGGUCUUGUCCACAUGGACGAUGUUGAAGCUCCUACGCCGACCAUUUUCUCCAUAAUCUUUCAAUAUACCUAAGGAAAUCUUUUCUGAUGUGGAAGAUCAGUUCAAACUGCAACCACAGAGCAUACUACGAUUAACCUUCGGCUCUUGAUACCACUUGUUGUUCCAAUAGGGUCGGAAACGUGUAAAGUAUUGUACUAAAAAAUCACACAAAGUUCAAUUCCCAGGGAAGAGAGGUGGAUCACAAGGAUCUCUUAAAUACCAAGUCUUUCCUUAGUCAGAAUAUUCCUUCUAACGUAAUUUAAUAGCACAAUUAAAUACUACUAUUAUACCCUCAAAUAUUGAAAGAAAAAUAGGACAAAAAGAACACAAGAGUUUUAACGAGGUUCAGUAAAUUAUACCUACGUCCUCGGCUACUAAAACCAGAUGAUAACUUUACUAUCUCCAAAAUAUUACAAACAAAUAGAAUUCCUUAAGAAUUCUCAAAUGGGAGAAGAGAGAAAACUAAGAGAGAAAGAUUGGUUGGGAUGAAUUGAAAUGAGAAAUAAGAAGGCCUAUUUAUAGUUGAGGUUCAAGGACCAAACAAUAAAUAGCCUAUUAUCUCAAGGACCAAAAAAAAAUUAUCCCUUGCCACUUUUCCAAAGUUGGUGGUUGUCAUUAUUGAUUGUCUCCCAUUAAUGUUAAUGGCAACCAUUAUUAAUUGUCUUCCAUUAAUGUUAACAGAUGUUAGGAACCCCUGGUCCAACCCGUCUGUUUUUGAAGCUUUUCGAGUUGAAACAAGCACCGAAUGGCGCAACUGGUUUUACUUGGGGAAUAGCAGAGAGCUCCUUAGAGAAAAAUUGUGUGACAGCUUUGAAGAUUGGGUGGUGUAGAAUGGUGUAAGGGUUGAUUGUGCUGAGCUUCGUGCCUCCGACGCCUUGUUUAUUGAUCGAUAACAGCGCUGUGUCUAUCAGGACAUCCUUGUCGUUUAUCUUGAUUGAUAUAACUUCCAUAUAGUACUCUCAUUGGGGACUGAUGAUAAGUGGAGUGUAGCUUAAUGGUCGUGUUAUAUCAACAUUAGGCAGCAUAUAAUAAGGGCUGUCUCCAAAGAACAUGACACCUUUAGGGGCUAAACAAAGGGCAAACGUUGGGGCAAAACCAGCAGACCCAAAGUGUGAGGCCAGUUGAGUUGGUAGAGAAAUGGGGGAAUGCCCUAAUCCAGCCACCCCUUGAACAGUACUUGGUAACCCUCUUUGCAGUAAAAGGGAAUGUGCACAAGUGAACAAGAACUGAGGGACCCUAACCAUUGGACCAGGGUUAGACCCUUGAGUGGAUUGAAUUGAUAGCACAUCUUGUGCAAGCUCACUCAUGGCGGUAAGGCCUGUCACAGGGUUCAUUGACAUGACCCCACAUGUGUUGUUAUGGCACCUUGUUCCAUCCCUGGUGGAGCAUAUGUGGCAAUAGUGACUGUCAGCUCUAGAGCAUUGAGUCGAG